RNAcentral lists this ribosomal RNA (1402 nucleotides) under uncultured bacterium. Its description in RNAcentral is "16S ribosomal RNA". It matches the Rfam family "Bacterial small subunit ribosomal RNA". The record is from RNAcentral.
AGAGUUUGAUCCUGGCUCAGGAUGAACGCUAGCGGCAGGCUUAACACAUGCAAGUCGAGGGGCAGCGGGGAGGAAGCUUGCUUUCUCCGCCGGCGACCGGCGCACGGGUGAGUAACACGUAUGCAACCUGCCCCUGUCAGGGGGACAACCCGCCGAAAGGCGGGCUAAACCCGCGUACAUGCCACCGGGGCAUCCCGGAGGCAGGAAAGGCUUCGGCCGGACAGGGAUGGGCAUGCGGCGCAUUAGGCAGUAGGCGGGGUAACGGCCCACCUAACCGACGACGCGUAGGGGUUCUGAGAGGAAGGUCCCCCACACUGGUACUGGGACACGGACCAGACUCCUACGGGAGGCAGCAGUGAGGAAUAUUGGUCAAUGGUCGGGAGACUGAACCAGCCAAGCCGCGUGAGGGAGGAAGGUACAGAGUAUCGUAAACCUCUUUUGUCAGGGAACAAAGGCGGGGACGUGUCCCCGGAUGAGUGUACCUGAAGAAAAAGCAUCGGCUAACUCCGUGCCAGCAGCCGCGGUAAUACGGAGGAUGCGAGCGUUAUCCGGAUUUAUUGGGUUUAAAGGGUGCGCAGGCGGUCUGUUAAGUCAGCGGUCAAAGCCCGGGGCUCAACCCCGGCCCGCCGUUGAAACUGGCAGUCUCGAGUUGGAGAGAAGUAUGCGGAAUGCGCGGUGUAGCGGUGAAAUGCAUAGAUAUCGCGCAGAACUCCGAUUGCGAAGGCAGCAUGCCGGCUCCACACUGACGCUGAGGCACGAAAGCGUGGGUAUCGAACAGGAUUAGAUACCCUGGUAGUCCACGCAGUAAACGAUGAAUGCUGGCUGUCCGGGGGGAUUGACCCCUGGGUGGCGAAGCGAAAGCGAUAAGCAUUCCACCUGGGGAGUACGCCGGCAACGGUGAAACUCAAAGGAAUUGACGGGGGCCCGCACAAGCGGAGGAACAUGUGGUUUAAUUCGAUGAUACGCGAGGAACCUUACCCGGGCUCAAACGGGGAGUGACUCAGGCAGAGACGCCUGUUUCCCACGGGACACUCCCCGAGGUGCUGCAUGGUUGUCGUCAGCUCGUGCCGUGAGGUGUCGGCUUAAGUGCCAUAACGAGCGCAACCCCCGCGUGCAGUUGCUAACAGAUAACGCUGAGGACUCUGCACGGACUGCCGGCGCAAGCCGCGAGGAAGGCGGGGAUGACGUCAAAUCAGCACGGCCCUUACGUCCGGGGCGACACACGUGUUACAAUGGGUGGUACAGCGGGAAGCCAGGCGGCGACGCCGAGCGGAACCCGAAAUCCACUCUCAGUUCGGAUCGGAGUCUGCAACCCGACUCCGUGAAGCUGGAUUCGCUAGUAAUCGCGCAUCAGCCAUGGCGCGGUGAAUACGUUCCCGGGCCUUGCACACACCGCCCGUCA